GAUGAACGCUGGCGGCGUGCCUAAUACAUGCAAGUCGAGCGAACAGAUGAGGAGCUUGCUCCUCUGACGUUAGCGGCGGACGGGUGAGUAACACGUGGAUAACCUACCUAUAAGGCUGGGAUAACUUCGGGAAACCGGAGUUAAUACCGGAUAAUAUAUUGAACCGCAUGGUUCAAUAGUGAAAGACGGUUUUGCUGUCACUUAUAGAUGGAUCCGCGCCGCAUUAGCUAGUUGGUAAGGUAACGGCUUACCAAGGCAACGAUGCGUAGCCGACCUGAGAGGGUGAUCGGCCACACUGGAACUGAGACACGGUCCAGACUCCUACGGGAGGCAGCAGUAGGGAAUCUUCCGCAAUGGGCGAAAGCCUGACGGAGCAACGCCGCGUGAGUGAUGAAGGUCUUCGGAUCGUAAAACUCUGUUAUUAGGGAAGAACAAAUGUGUAAGUAACUAUGCACGUCUUGACGGUACCUAAUCAGAAAGCCACGGCUAACUACGUG
RNAcentral lists this ribosomal RNA (497 nucleotides) under uncultured bacterium. Its description in RNAcentral is "partial 16S ribosomal RNA". It matches the Rfam family "Bacterial small subunit ribosomal RNA", at positions 28 to 507 of the family's 1533-position model. The record is from RNAcentral.